GAUGAACGCUGGCGGCGUGCCUAAUACAUGCAAGUCGAGCGAACAGACGAGGAGCUUGCUCCUCUGACGUUAGCGGCGGACGGGUGAGUAACACGUGGAUAACCUACCUAUAAGACUGGGAUAACUUCGGGAAACCGGAGCUAAUACCGGAUAAUAUAUUGAACCGCAUGGUUCAAUAGUGAAAGACGGUUUUGCUGUCACUUAUAGAUGGAUCCGCGCCGCAUUAGCUAGUUGGUAAGGUAACGGCUUACCAAGGCAACGAUGCGUAGCCGACCUGAGAGGGUGAUCGGACACACUGGAAGUGAGACACGGUCCAGACUCCUACGGGAGGCAGCAGUAGGGACUCUUCCGCAAUGGGCGAAAGCCUGACGGAGCAACGCCGCGUGAGUGAUGAAGGUCUUCGGAUCGUAAAACUCUGUUAUUAGGGAAGAACAAAUGUGUAAGUAACUAUGCACGUCUUGACGGUACCUAAUCAGAAAGCCACGGCUAACUACGUG
RNAcentral lists this ribosomal RNA (497 nucleotides) under uncultured bacterium. RNAcentral describes it as "partial 16S ribosomal RNA". It matches the Rfam family "Bacterial small subunit ribosomal RNA", at positions 28 to 507 of the family's 1533-position model. The record is from RNAcentral.